AUGUACGAUGACAGACACACCACCGAGUACAUUAAGGGUCUGCAUAAUUUUCUCGAAGUGGCUGAGGCAAACAAGCAGAAUGGUUUUAUGUGUUGUACAUGCCCUAUAUGUGGGAAUACGAUGUCUUACUCGAACCAGAAAAUCCUUCACACCCACCUGCUUUAUAAGGGUUUCAUGCCACACUGUAAUGUUUGGACGAAGCACGGAGAAAUAGGGGUUAUGAUGGAAGACAACGAACAAGAAGAGGACGAUGACAACUACGUGCCCCCUGAAUACCGUGAUGCUGCAACGGGGGAAGUUGCUGAAGAUCAAGAAGAACCAGAAGAUGUGCCUAAUGAUGAUGAUCUCCGCCGGGUCAUUGUUGAUGCAAGGACACAGUGCGAAAGUCAAAAGGAGAAGCUGGAGUUCGAUCGCAUGUUAGAGGAUCACAAAAAAGGGUUGUACCCUGCUACCUCUUGA
This 459-nucleotide ribosomal RNA is filed under the name Triticum aestivum (bread wheat). RNAcentral's name for it is "partial small subunit ribosomal RNA". The record is from RNAcentral. Lineage: Eukaryota; Viridiplantae; Streptophyta; Magnoliopsida; Poales; Poaceae.